CGUCAGGAUGAACGCUGGCGGCGUGCUUAAUAUAUGCAAGUCGAACGAAGCACCUGCGUACGGAUCCCUUCGGGGUGAAGAUGCUUGUGACUGAGUGGCGGACGGGUGAGUAACGCGUGGGUAACCUGCCUAUGCAGGGGACAACAGUUGGAAACGACUGCUAAUACCGCAUAAGCGCACGGCACCGCAUGGUGCAGUGUGAAAAGAUUUAUCGGCAUAAGAUGGACCCGCGUCUGAUUAGGUAGUUGGUGAGGUAACGGCCCACCAAGCCGACGAUCAGUAGCCGACUUGAGAGAGUGAUCGGCCACAUUGGGACUGAGACACGGCCCAGACUCCUACGGGAGGCAGCAGUAGGGAAUAUUGCACAAUGGGGGAAACCCUGAUGCAAGCGACGCCGCGUGAGUGAUGAAGUAUUUCGGUACGUAAAGCUCUAUCAGCAGGGAAGAUAAUGACGGUACCUGACUAAGAAGCCCCGGCUAACUACGUGCCAGCAGCCGC
Molecule: ribosomal RNA, 498 nt
Filed under: uncultured bacterium
Lineage: Bacteria
Description: bacterial SSU rRNA
Rfam family: Bacterial small subunit ribosomal RNA
Source: RNAcentral